AGUGAACGCUGGCGGUAGGCCUAACACAUGCAAGUCGAACGGCAGCACAGUAAGAGCUUGCUCUUACGGGUGGCGAGUGGCGGACGGGUGAGGAAUACAUCGGAAUCUACUUUUUCGUGGGGGAUAACGUAGGGAAACUUACGCUAAUACCGCAUACGACCUACGGGUGAAAGCAGGGGAUCUUCGUACCUUGCGCGAUUGAAUGAGCCGAGGUCGGAUUAGCUAGUUGGCGGGGUAAAGGCCCACCAAGGCGACGAUCCGUAGCUGGUCUGAGAGGAUGACCAGCCACACUGGAACUGAGACACGGUCCAGACUCCUACGGGAGGCAGCAGUGGGGAAUAUUGGACAAUGGGCGCAAGCCUGAUCCAGCCAUACCGCGUGGGUGAAGAAGGCCUUCGGGUUGUAAAGCCCUUUUGUUGGGAAAGAAAAGCAGCAGGUUAAUACCCCGCUGUUCUGACGGUACCCAAAGAAUAAGCACCGGCUAACUUCGUG
This 492-nucleotide ribosomal RNA is filed under the name uncultured bacterium. RNAcentral describes it as "partial 16S ribosomal RNA". It matches the Rfam family "Bacterial small subunit ribosomal RNA", at positions 29 to 507 of the family's 1533-position model. The record is from RNAcentral.